UGGGGAAUAUUGGGCAAUGGAGGAAACUCUGACCCAGCAACGCCGCGUGAAUGAUGAAGGUCUUCGGAUUGUAAAGUUCUUUUCUAAGGGAAGAAGAAAGUGACGGUACCUUAGGAAUAAGCCUCGGCUAACUACGUGCCAGCAGCCGCGGUAAUACGUAGGAGGCAAGCGUUAUCCGGAAUGACUGGGCGUAAAGGGUGCGUAGGUGGUUUGACAAGUUGGUAGCGUAACUCCGGGGCUCAACCUCGGCACUACUACCAAAACUGUUGGACUUGAGUGCAGGAGGGGCAAAUGGAAUUCCUA
This 303-nucleotide ribosomal RNA is filed under the name uncultured bacterium. RNAcentral's name for it is "bacterial SSU rRNA". It matches the Rfam family "Bacterial small subunit ribosomal RNA", at positions 355 to 672 of the family's 1533-position model. The record is from RNAcentral.